GGUUAAGCGACUAAGCGUACACGGUGGAUGCCCUGGCAGUCAGAGGCGAUGAAGGACGUGCUAAUCUGCGAAAAGCGUCGGUAAGGUGAUAUGAACCGUUAUAGCCGGCGAUGUCCGAAUGGGGAAACCCAGUGUGAUUCGUCACACUAUCGUUAACUGAAUACAUAGGUUAACGAGGCGAACCGGGGGAACUGAAACAUCUAAGUACCCCGAGGAAAAGAAAUCAACCGAGAUUCCCCCAGUAGCGGCGAGCGAACGGGGAGCAGCCCAGAGUCUGAAUCAGCUUGUGUAUUAGUGGAACGGUCUGGAAAGUCCGACGGUACAGGGUGAUAGUCCCGUACACCAAAAUGCACAGGCUGUGAACUCGAAGAGUAGGGCGGGACACGUGGUAUCCUGUCUGAAUAUGGGGGGACCAUCCUCCAAGGCUAAAUACUCCUGACUGACCGAUAGUAAACCAGUACCGUGAGGGAAAGGCGAAAAGAACCCCGGCGAGGGGAGUGAAAAAGAACCUGAAACCGUGUACGUACAAGCAGUGGGAGCACCUUCGGGUGUGACUGCGUACCUUUUGUAUAAUGGGUCAGCGACUUAUAUUCUGUAGCAAGGUUAACCGUAUAGGGGAGCCGCAGGGAAACCGAGUCUUAACUGGGCGUUAAGUUGCAGGGUAUAGACCCGAAACCCGGUGAUCUAGCCAUGGGCAGGUUGAAGGUUGGGUAACACUAACUGGAGGACCGAACCGACUAAUGUUGAAAAAUUAGCGGAUGACUUGUGGCUGGGGGUGAAAGGCCAAUCAAACCGGGAGAUAGCUGGUUCUCCCCGAAAGCUAUUUAGGUAGCGCCUCGUGAAUUCAUCUUCGGGGGUAGAGCACUGUUUCGGCUAGGGGGUCAUCCCGACUUACCAACCCGAUGCAAACUACGAAUACCGAAGAAUGUUAUCACGGGAGACACACGGCGGGUGCUAACGUCCGUCGUGAAGAGGGGAAACAACCCAGACCGCCAGCUAAGGUCCCAAAGUCAUGGUUAAGUGGGAAACGAUGUGGGAAGGCACAGACAGCCAGGAUGUUGGCUUAGAAGCAGCCAUCAUUUAAAGAAAGCGUAAUAGCUCACUGGUCGAGUCGGCCUGCGCGGAAGAUGUAACGGGGCUAAACCAUGCACCGAAGCUGCGGCAGCGACACUAUGUGUUGUUGGGUAGGGGAGCGUUCUGUAAGCCUGCGAAGGUGACCUGUGAGGGUUGCUGGAGGUAUCAGAAGUGCGAAUGCUGACAUAAGUAACGAUAAAGCGGGUGAAAAGCCCGCUCGCCGGAAGACCAAGGGUUCCUGUCCAACGUUAAUCGGGGCAGGGUGAGUCGACCCCUAAGGCGAGGCCGAAAGGCGUAGUCGAUGGGAAACAGGUUAAUAUUCCUGUACUUGGUGUUACUGCGAAGGGGGACGGAGAAGGCUAUGUUAGCCGGGCGACGGUUGUCCCGGUUUAAGCAUGUAGGCUGGUUGUCCAGGCAAAUCCGGAUAAUCAAGGCUGAGGUGUGAUGACGAGGUACUACGGUGCUGAAGUAACAAAUGCCCUGCUUCCAGGAAAAGCCUCUAAGCAUCAGGUAACAUCAAAUCGUACCCCAAACCGACACAGGUGGUCAGGUAGAGAAUACCAAGGCGCUUGAGAGAACUCGGGUGAAGGAACUAGGCAAAAUGGUGCCGUAACUUCGGGAGAAGGCACGCUGGUGUGUAGGUGAAGUCCCUGCGGAUGGAGCUGAGACCAGUCGAAGAUACCAGCUGGCUGCAACUGUUUAUUAAAAACACAGCACUGUGCAAACACGAAAGUGGACGUAUACGGUGUGACGCCUGCCCGGUGCCGGAAGGUUAAUUGAUGGGGUUAUCCGUAAGGAGAAGCUCUUGAUCGAAGCCCCGGUAAACGGCGGCCGUAACUAUAACGGUCCUAAGGUAGCGAAAUUCCUUGUCGGGUAAGUUCCGACCUGCACGAAUGGCGUAAUGAUGGCCAGGCUGUCUCCACCCGAGACUCAGUGAAAUUGAACUCGCUGUGAAGAUGCAGUGUACCCGCGGCAAGACGGAAAGACCCCGUGAACCUUUACUAUAGCUUGACACUGAACAUUGAGCCUUGAUGUGUAGGAUAGGUGGGAGGCUUUGAAGCGUGGACGCCAGUCUGCGUGGAGCCAACCUUGAAAUACCACCCUUUAAUGUUUGAUGUUCUAACGUUGGCCCCUGACCGGGGUUGCGGACAGUGUCUGGUGGGUAGUUUGACUGGGGCGGUCUCCUCCCAAAGCGUAACGGAGGAGCACGAAGGUUAGCUAAUCCUGGUCGGACAUCAGGAGGUUAGUGCAAUGGCAUAAGCUAGCUUGACUGCGAGCGUGACGGCGCGAGCAGGUGCGAAAGCAGGUCAUAGUGAUCCGGUGGUUCUGAAUGGAAGGGCCAUCGCUCAACGGAUAAAAGGUACUCCGGGGAUAACAGGCUGAUACCGCCCAAGAGUUCAUAUCGACGGCGGUGUUUGGCACCUCGAUGUCGGCUCAUCACAUCCUGGGGCUGAAGUAGGUCCCAAGGGUAUGGCUGUUCGCCAUUUAAAGUGGUACGCGAGCUGGGUUUAGAACGUCGUGAGACAGUUCGGUCCCUAUCUGCCGUGGGCGCUGGAGAAUUGAGGGGGGCUGCUCCUAGUACGAGAGGACCGGAGUGGACGCAUCACUGGUGUUCGGGUUGUCAUGCCAAUGGCACUGCCCGGUAGCUAAAUGCGGAAGAGAUAAGUGCUGAAAGCAUCUAAGCACGAAACUUGCCCCGAGAUGAGUUCUCCCUGAGACUUUAAGUCUCCUGAAGGAACGUUGAAGACGACGACGUUGAUAGGCCGGGUGUGUAAGCGCAGCGAUGCGUUGAGCUAACCGGUACUAAUGAACCGUGAGGCUUAACCUU
Molecule: ribosomal RNA, 2902 nt
Filed under: Klebsiella pneumoniae
Lineage: Bacteria; Pseudomonadati; Pseudomonadota; Gammaproteobacteria; Enterobacterales; Enterobacteriaceae
Description: 23S ribosomal RNA
Rfam family: Bacterial large subunit ribosomal RNA
Source: RNAcentral